CUCAAUGUUCACCUCCGUGCUACUGAUGGUGAUCCUCUCCCUGACCCGACGCGUUAUCGUCAUCUCGUUGGCAGUCUAGUCUAUCUAGCUGUCACUCGUCCGGACAUCUCUUAUCCGGUUCAUAUUCUGAGUCAGUUUGUCUCUGCUCCCACAUCGGUUCAUUAUAGUCAUCUCCUUCGUGUUCUCCGAUAUCUUCGGGGCACGAUCUCUCACCGUCUCUUCUUUCCUAGCUCCAGUUCUUUACAGCUUCAGGCCUAUGCGGAUGUUACGUGGGCUAGUGAUCCUUCUGAUCGCCGUUCGCUUUCUGCUUACUGUGUUUUUCUUGGCGGUUCUCUCAUUGCCUGGAAGACGAAGAAACAGAUUGCAGUUUCCCGUUCGAGUGCUGAGGCUGAGUUGCGAGCUAUGGCUCUUUUGACGGCAGAGGUGACUUGGUUACGGUGGUUACUUCAGGAUUUUGGUGUUUCUGUCACUACCCCGACUAUGCUCUUAUCUGACAGUACAGGUGCUAUUAGCAUUGCGCGCGAUCCUGUGAAGCAUGAGCUCACCAAGCAUAUUGGUGUUGAUGCUUUCUAUGUGCGCGCUGCUGUGCAGGAUCAGGUCAUUGCUCUUCAGUAUGUGCCUUCCGAGUUACAGUUGGCGGAUUUCCUGACGAAGGCCCAG
This 660-nucleotide ribosomal RNA is filed under the name Triticum aestivum (bread wheat). RNAcentral's name for it is "partial small subunit ribosomal RNA". Lineage: Eukaryota; Viridiplantae; Streptophyta; Magnoliopsida; Poales; Poaceae. The record is from RNAcentral.